Molecule: ribosomal RNA, 257 nt
Filed under: uncultured bacterium
Lineage: Bacteria
Description: partial 16S ribosomal RNA
Rfam family: Bacterial small subunit ribosomal RNA
Source: RNAcentral
UACAGGGGGGACUAGUGUUAUUCGGAGUGACUGGGCGUAAAGGGCAUGUAGGCGGUUUAUUAUGUUAAAAGUCAAAGACCAGAAUUGUUAUUUUGGAAUAUCUUUUAAAACGGAUAAACUAGAGUUAGAAAGAGGAUAGCGGAAUUUCUAGUGUAGAGAUAAAAUUCGUAAAUAUUAGAAGGAAUUCCUAUUGGCGAAGGCUACUAUCUGGUUCUAUUUACUGACGCUGAGGUGCUAAAGCAUGGGGAUCAAACGGG